Molecule: ribosomal RNA, 465 nt
Filed under: uncultured bacterium
Lineage: Bacteria
Description: partial 16S ribosomal RNA
Rfam family: Bacterial small subunit ribosomal RNA
Source: RNAcentral
CUACGGGACGCAGCAGUGGGGAAUAUUGGACAAUGGGGGAAACCCUGAUCCAGCAAUGCCGCGUGUGUGAAGAAGGCCUGCGGGUUGUAAAGCACUUUCGGUUGGGAGGACUGCUUCUAGCACUAAUAUUGUUGGAAGUUGACGUUACCUUCAGAAGAAGCACCGGCUAACUCCGUGCCAGCAGCCGCGGUAAUACGGAGGGUGCAAGCCUUAAUCGGAAUUACUGGGCGUAAAGCGCGCGUAGGCGGCUAGAUCAGUCGGGUGUGAAAGCCCCGGGCUUAACCUGGGAACUGCAUCCGAUACUGUCUAGCUUGAGUACAGGAGAGGAGAGUGGAAUUCCACAUGUAACGGUGAAAUGCGUAGAUAUGUGGAGGAACACCAAUGGCGAAGGCAGCUCUCUGGCCUGAUACUGACGCUGAGGUGCGAAAGCGUGGGGAGCAAACAGGAUUAGAUACCCCGGUAGUC